RNAcentral lists this ribosomal RNA (142 nucleotides) under uncultured Geobacillus sp. RNAcentral describes it as "partial 16S ribosomal RNA". It matches the Rfam family "Bacterial small subunit ribosomal RNA", at positions 1242 to 1382 of the family's 1533-position model. The record is from RNAcentral. Lineage: Bacteria; Bacillati; Bacillota; Bacilli; Caryophanales; Anoxybacillaceae.
AAGGACGUGCGAACCCGCGAGGGGGAGCGAAUCCCAAAAAGCCGCUCUCAGUUCGGAUUGCAGGCUGCAACUCGCCUGCAUGAAGCCGGAAUCGCUAGUAAUCGCGGAUCAGCAUGCCGCGGUGAAUACGUUCCCGGGCCUU